This is a long non-coding RNA of Oncorhynchus tshawytscha (Chinook salmon), 2022 nucleotides long. The record is from Ensembl. NCBI's taxonomy places the organism in Eukaryota, Metazoa, Chordata, Actinopteri, Salmoniformes, Salmonidae.
CAAUCAAUUGAAUUUACCACAGGUGGACCCCAAUCAAGUUGUAGAAACAUCAAGGAUGAUCAAUGGAAACAGGAUGCACCUGAGCUCAAUUUCGGGUCUCAUAACAAAGGGUCUGAAUGUAAAUAAGCAUGUGAUAUUCCUAAACAUCACUGGAUACCGUUGACUGAAGAGGAAAGGACAUCCCACGUCUUUUAUUUUGGAAAGAGCAGUUUUGAAAACUUCCCUGGAAUAUUUAGCCUUUUCUUAUGCAGAGAAAUCCUAAUAGGCCUGCUGAUGACUGGAACGUAAGGCAUGUGUCCCAGUAGCUCGCCAAACAAUUUGCUUUAGGAAAGAGUCAACUGGCUAUUAUACUGCAUAUCAUUUUGCCUAUCUCUUGUCAAAAAGGAGGGAAUUUCUUUGCCUUAUAGUAGAUGAGGAAAGAAGGCAGCUCCUGAGUUCAAUUUUUUUGUUGAUCCUAACAUUGUUGAAAGUGGCAUUAAUGUUUCAGCCAUGUUGACUUUCAUCAGAAUGAAGAAUAGCUUAUGGUAGAUGAACAGUGGAAAAAAUAGAUCAGAAGAUCAAUAAUCAGCAGGCUGACACAGCACAUUGAAGGGGAAUGGAAACACUUUUUAGGACCUAUAGCAAUGCAACAAGUUGUAUUCAAUCCACUAACACUAAACAGGUGUAAAGCCUAGUGUUUCCCUUCCCCUUUAAAGCUGGAAUCAUUAAUGGUGAAACUGCCAUGUCCUUUUGGGAUAUUACAACAAAGAAGUUACUGCAAACAACAAACUCUGUUUUUUUUUUACCCUCUGACGACAUUGCAUACGCGAUAGAAUAGCAGAAUAUGUACUGUGUUGCUCGAAGCAUCUCGCCUCCAUUAGGUCCACAAAAUAAUAAGAGGUGCUGGGGUGGACAGGGGCGCUUUCCCCCCUAUUGCGGAUUCAAUCUUUAAGAUGUCAUCUUGCUGGGCCUUGCUGUAGAUGCCGUGUGAAAGUAGACUGUUACAGUGAAUGGACACAAGUACAGAUGUGGUAGAUACAUUUGCAUGCAGUAUCUUAUCUAUGUAGGCACAGGCAGUAUAGACUGUAGACAUACGCACACUGGUGUGACCUUGGAAGGCUGAAUGCUCGAGGCGGCGGGGGAGAGUGGUAAGCGAGUGUUGGCCAACCCUCUUAAAUCAGAAAAUGUAGCGCACUAGAGGAGGAAGAGCGACUGGGUGUCAUGGUGUGUCAUGGUGUGUGUGUGUCACUGUGAAUGUUUGCUACUAUGCAUAUCUAUGUACUUAGCUGUGGAUAUGCAUGUUGGACUGCAUCUGUGGUGGUAGGUAGUCUGAUAUUAUAGCAUUAGGCCUUGUGUUCCAUUAGCCUUUCUGCUUGUGGCACAGGUGUUUUAUCUAUAGUGUUUUUGGAUAUGUUGGAUGUGCCUGCUUGUUGACAGUGACACACAAUAUCUGUGCUGAGUCACUCCUAUGUUUGUCUGCUUAAUAAUGUAUGAACAACACCGUUAGACUCACUUAUCGCUCUGUAUUACCUUCAGGACACAAUGGAACAUACACGUCUCUGUGUGUGUGCCACAUGGAUGUCACUGUGUGUGGAACAUGCAUGUCGCUGUGUAUCUGCUCAACUGUUGGCCACAGUGUCCCCUCAUUGAAAUCGGGCCUGCACAUAGCCUAUAGAUGGCCAUACCUUUCAGUCGAACAUGGGGUGAAAUGAGGAGGAGGGGAAAGGGCAAACACAUUAGGGGACUUUCAGUGACAGACGAGGAGGAUGCUGAUAUGACUGUUGACACUUUGUUUUAGGUCAGUUGUUAGUUAGAGCAAGGGUUUGAAUAGUUUCUCUGUGGGUGAGAUUAGCCAUAGUGGUAAACCAGUGUUGGGUUAAUGUUACAGGAUUAGUGUUAUAGUUAUGAGGAAGGGACAUUGCUUCAUUUGAGAAUCUCUCCUAUCCAUUUGGGAUACUUUCCCUCCAUGCUAGUAGUGUUUUCUCUAUGCUGUUCCUGCAUAGCACAACCUCCUAAUGUGAGGGAAAUACAGGUGUAUCAUCA